This is a long non-coding RNA of Manis pentadactyla (Chinese pangolin), 717 nucleotides long. RefSeq lists it as uncharacterized. The record is from RefSeq and is a predicted model, not a curated record. NCBI's taxonomy places the organism in Eukaryota, Metazoa, Chordata, Mammalia, Pholidota, Manidae. The transcript has 4 exons.
GCCUGGUUGUCCUGGAUGGCCUCCUGGAUGCACUCGUCGAAGGAGUCAAGCUCCGCUUUCCGCUUCUCCUGCUGUUUCAGGCCAUACUCAAAAAUGUUCAGGCAGAUGAUGACAAAUUUGUCCUUGUAGGGUCUCACAAGAGGGAUGAGGAACUGAGGCCCAGAGUGGAGAGGGACUUGCCCCAGGCAGGCUGGGACUUAGGCUUUGCCACAGGAGGGAGCCGUGAACUUGGAAGGAUAUGUCUCAAAGAGCUCCCUGACACCAGGCAGACAGCCCAGCUUGUUGCCCUCUAUGUCCUCAGCAUACAUGCUGUCAAACAGGAAGGAGUCAUUCAGGUGCUCGACAAAUGCAGCCUGUGUUCAGAAACAUAGCCAGGCUCAGCCCAGGCCCCACCUGAGACCUUCUGACAACCUCGCCUACUCUGGCUCCCUCAAGAACACUGCCAACUCACCACCCAAGAUGGACCUCUGUCUUCCAGAGUCCCACUGAGGCAAGUCUCUGAAUUGUGAAAGGAGCCUUCGUUUCCUCACAGCACAAUGGGGAUGCCCAGGCUAUGUUACCUGCCCUGUAUGGAAGCUUCUGGAGACCAAGGAGAUAAUGCCUGGAGAUGGACUUUGGAACAAUGCAGUCCCAUGGUUUUAUAAUGAGUGAAACACACCCCAGCAGUUCUUGGGUUUAUUCUAAGCUUAUCUGGUUGCCUUUCAAAUCAUUACCUAA